Non-coding RNA from Lyngbya sp. PCC 8106, 302 nucleotides. Lineage: Bacteria; Bacillati; Cyanobacteriota; Cyanophyceae; Oscillatoriales; Microcoleaceae. The record is from Rfam.
GGAAAAUGGUUAAUAUUAGCCCUUUAUAUCAGUAAUGAUAUAAAUGCACCUCCUGAAUUGCUGGGAAACCCUAAAGCUGUUUUAACGACAACAUAACUAGAAAUAGUCAGUGUGAACGUUUAAAAAUAAAACAGAUGAAACAAUGGGUGAUCAGCAGCCGAGAUUCUGUUAAAUGAAUCAGGUUCAACGACUAUUCCAAACGGAAGUACACUCAAGCGAGUGGAAGUAGGAGGUAUCCUGUAGUCAAAUCUCUAAAUUAUUACAGGAUAAAGAUAUAGUCUGGUCUUACAUGAAAGUGUAAG